AUUGAACGCUGGCGGCAGGCCUAACACAUGCAAGUCGAACGGUAACAGGGAUCAGCUUGCUGAUUCGCUGACGAGUGGCGGACGGGUGAGUAAUGUCUGGGAAACUGCCUGAUGGAGGGGGAUAACUACUGGAAACGGUAGCUAAUACCGCAUAACGUCGCAAGACCAAAGAGGGGGACUUUCGGGCCUCUUGCCAUCGGAUGUGCCCAGAUGGGAUUAGCUAGUAGGUGGGGUAACGGCUCACCUAGGCGACGAUCCCUAGCUGGUCUGAGAGGAUGACCAGCCACACUGGAACUGAGACACGGUCCAGACUCCUACGGGAGGCAGCAGUGGGGAAUAUUGCACAAUGGGCGCAAGCCUGAUGCAGCCAUGCCGCGUGUAUGAAGAAGGCCUUCGGGUUGUAAAGUACUUUCAGCGGGGAGGAAGGGAGUAAAGUUAAUACCUUUGCUCAUUGACGUUACCCGCAGAAGAAGCACCGGCUAACUCCGUG
This 490-nucleotide ribosomal RNA is filed under the name uncultured bacterium. RNAcentral's name for it is "partial 16S ribosomal RNA". It matches the Rfam family "Bacterial small subunit ribosomal RNA", at positions 30 to 507 of the family's 1533-position model. The record is from RNAcentral.